Molecule: ribosomal RNA, 359 nt
Filed under: Sergentomyia squamipleuris
Lineage: Eukaryota; Metazoa; Arthropoda; Insecta; Diptera; Psychodidae
Description: SSU rRNA
Rfam family: Eukaryotic small subunit ribosomal RNA
Source: RNAcentral
UGGUAAUUCCAGAGCUAAUACAUGCAAACAACAUGGAUCCCUGUAGCAAUAUGGGUGAAACAUGUGCUUUUAUUAGAUUAAAACCAUGUCCAUCUUUGGUGGAUUUGUUUUAGAUGAAUCUGGAUAAUUAUGGCUGAUCGUAUGGUCUUGCACCGACGAUAGAUCAUUCAAAUGUCUGCCCUAUCAACUAUUGAUGGUAGUAUAGAGGACUACCAUGGUUGCAACGGGUAACGGGGAAUCAGGGUUCGAUUCCGGAGAGGGAGCCUGAGAAACGGCUACCACAUCUAAGGAAGGCAGCAGGCGCGUAAAUUACCCAAUCCCGGCACGGGGAGGUAGUGACGAAAAAUAACAAUACAGGA